AUGGGACCAGAACCAAAAGUUGUUAUAUGUGCUCCCGAUCAAGGCACACUCGUGAGAGGGUGGAGACUUUGUCUCCCUUAUUUUUCUCUUGGUUUGUUUACCGUGAGAUCAAUUCCAACAGUUCUUUCUUGCAAUCCCUCCCAAGGAAACUGCACAGUACUCCGAGUACAAUUGCCCAAUAAUCAACUCUCUUAUGCUAGGGUUGGGGACGCCAAAUGGACUUGGAUUGGUGGAAAAGGAAAUUGCUGGGAAUAUCAAGAUAUUCUGUAUAACAACAAUGAUGGUUUGUUUUAUGGUGUUCGUGGUGAGGGUCAGGUAGAUUCUAUUGACCUUAAUGGAACUUCUGCUGAAGUAAAAGUCAUUUUAAAGUCAAUCAUAUCUUACCAAGCACAUAGUAGACAUAUUGUUCAAGCACCAUGGGGAGAUUUUUUCCAGAUAUGGAGACAUGGUAAAUAUAAUAAGGAGAAUGGGAGAACAGAAUGGGUUGGCAACAAGUUUUUCGUGUACAAGAUUGAUUUUGUUGAACAAAAGAUUAUCGAAACAAAUAACCUCCAAGAUCAUGCAAUGUUCAUUGGUUUCAACAACUCAUUCCUUCUCCCAGUGAAAGACUUUCCUGCAUUGGUUCCCAAUAGCAUCUACCACACGGAUGACUUGCUUGAUUAUAUCUACUGUCACAGAUUUAGUCUUAGGCAGGUUGUUAUUUUUAAUAUGGAAGAUGGCAGUUUCAUCGAGUUAUCGCCCCCUAGUUCAAAUUCAGGAUUGAACUGGCCACCCCCAGUUUGGAUUUAA
Molecule: ribosomal RNA, 789 nt
Filed under: Triticum aestivum (bread wheat)
Lineage: Eukaryota; Viridiplantae; Streptophyta; Magnoliopsida; Poales; Poaceae
Description: partial small subunit ribosomal RNA
Source: RNAcentral